AUUGAACGCUGGCGGCAUGCCUUACACAUGCAAGUCGAACGGCAGCACGGGAGCUUGCUCCUGGUGGCGAGUGGCGAACGGGUGAGUAAUACAUCGGAACGUACCCAGUAGUGGGGGAUAACGCACCGAAAGGUGCGCUAAUACCGCAUACGACCUAAGGGUGAAAGCGGGGGACCGUAAGGCCUCGCGCUAUUCGAGCGGCCGAUGUCUGAUUAGCUAGUUGGCGGGGUAAAGGCCCACCAAGGCGACGGUCAGUAGCUGGUCUGAGAGGACGCUCAGCCACACUGGGAGUGAGACACGGCCCCGACUCCUACAGGAGGCCGCAGUGGGGAAUUUUGGACAAUGGGGGCAACCCUGAUCCAGCAAUGCCGCGUGUGCGAAGAAGGCCUUCGGGUUGUAAAGCACUUUUGUCAGGGAAGAAAUCUUUUGGGCUAAUACCCCGGAAGGAUGACGGUACCUGAAGAAUAAGCACCGGCUAACUACGUGCCAGCAGCCGCGGUAA
This 502-nucleotide ribosomal RNA is filed under the name uncultured bacterium. RNAcentral describes it as "partial 16S ribosomal RNA". It matches the Rfam family "Bacterial small subunit ribosomal RNA", at positions 29 to 523 of the family's 1533-position model. The record is from RNAcentral.